Molecule: long non-coding RNA, 1037 nt
Filed under: Lepisosteus oculatus (spotted gar)
Lineage: Eukaryota; Metazoa; Chordata; Actinopteri; Semionotiformes; Lepisosteidae
Description: lncRNA (ENSLOCG00000023076.1)
Source: RNAcentral
CCGAAACGUUGUGUUUUCUUUCUUCUCUUUUCAGCACAGAAUAAACCUAUUACUUGUUCCUUAGCCCCAGGUGUACUAAUACCAAUUUUUUGGAAAGAAAAAAUGCAAUUUUUAGACCUUACAGACCAAGCCCACGACUUUCCUGCCAGAUGCAUCCCGAGGGCUAACAAAAGCAUCCGGAAUCAACCAAUUUCAACACUGAUUCACUAGGAAUAGGUUUGCAUGGUUCCCAAUCUUCAUGGAUCUCUGUCAGCAUGGCAGGAGUGUCGUUAUACAGGAGCUCCUAACAAGAACACCAUGGAACACCAGCUCUCACAGUGUGUGGGAUACUGCAGCUUAUUAGGUCUGCCCAUCAACAGAACAAGGGCUCCUUCCAGGAAUCCUGCCAUGUGCCCUUGCCAAUUUACAGAUCCAUUUACUGGUCGAAGAAGACUCUCAGCUUCGAUAACUUUUAAUCCGGAAGAGACAAGACCAAGGUUUCUUUCCAGCAAAACCAUCCAUCCAUUUUGUAACCACUUUAUCCAAUAGAGGUCAAUAGUGGAUGCUGCCCAAGUCCUCAGCCAAGCUCUGAAGGAUUCAAUUGGACCAGCUUCCCAAUUAAGAAGAGUUACCUAUGGAGUUAGGAGGAGUUAGAGUACCAGCUUUCCAGAUCUAUGCUCAUUGACAGUUUAAGGUUUGCUACAAAACCCGCAGAACUGUGGCUCUCCAGAGCCAGGAUUGCAGACCCCUGUGUUAGGGCACCAUAUUAUUAUAUUAUAUUUUGUGUAAUAAACCUGUUUAAUGAGCACAUAUACAGGUGAAGUAACAAUUUUUAUACAGUGACUCUGUUAACGAUCGUGUUUAAUGAUGAAACAAUACAGCUAUUCUACAAUAAUUUUAAAAAAUCAGAAUGCUUCACCCAUUUCUCUUUAUGGAGAUAGAGCUCUUUAUUUUUUGCUUUAUUUUUCCUUCAAAGUAGUUACUGUAUACUUGUUUUCAUUAUACUUACUAAUGCAAGAAGACAUCAUCACAACAAAAGGAAACAUUUUUGUUUUGUU